CGGCGCACGGGUGCGUAACGCGUAUGCAAUCUACCUUUCACAAAGGGAUAGCCCAGAGAAAUUUGGAUUAAUACCUUAUAGUAUAUCGAGUUGGCAUCAACAUGAUAUUAAAGAUUUAUCGGUGAAAGAUGAGCAUGCGUCCCAUUAGCUAGUUGGUAUGGUAACGGCAUACCAAGGCUACGAUGGGUAGGGGUCCUGAGAGGGAGAUCCCCCACACUGGUACUGAGACACGGACCAGACUCC
RNAcentral lists this ribosomal RNA (243 nucleotides) under uncultured bacterium. RNAcentral describes it as "partial 16S ribosomal RNA". It matches the Rfam family "Bacterial small subunit ribosomal RNA", at positions 96 to 339 of the family's 1533-position model. The record is from RNAcentral.